Non-coding RNA from Myodes glareolus (Bank vole), 1024 nucleotides. NCBI's taxonomy places the organism in Eukaryota, Metazoa, Chordata, Mammalia, Rodentia, Cricetidae. The record is from RefSeq and is a predicted model, not a curated record.
UCUGUGAUAGUUACUGAGGCCAUUCAAAAGCUGAGCUCUUCAACUCCCAUUUCUGUGAAAUUACGCUCAGGAAAUCAUAGAAGAGGAGAAAAAUGGCAAGGGAAAAGCGGCUUGCGGUAUCAUUUUCUCCAGGGAAGGGAAGAUGCAGCAAUCUUCCUUCCAAACACCCCAGCAAAAAGCGAAGAGUUACCGAGCUGCUGGAACUACGGCCAGGAGUACCAGGAAGCCGCCCCAAAGAUUCAUUGGAAAGCAUUUUCCAUGAAGACUGGGCAGGAUACAGAGAGUGUUAAAGCCAAGGACUGCACGCUAUGAAGGCUUACUGAAGCCCUACGCUUGCCUGACCAGGAAAAGGAAAGUGCUGAAAAUAAGACGUAGGAUGGGUUUAAACCGGAUGACACUGAAGGUCAUCUCCAUAGUCGCCCAAGUGUGGUUCAGUGAACAAGAUAAAGAGUUGACCUCACAAAUACUUUACGGCAGCUGAAAUCAAAGGAACUAUGAAAAGCAACUGAACAGAGUUCUGUGAAGAGCACACCAAAGAAGACAGCAGUUGGAGAAGCAGAGACGGCUCCCGCCCCUCAGCUCUGUAAACCGUCAGCUGUCAUCACAUUGCGUAGGACCAUGGCGACAAAGGACCACACUGAUGAUAAUACUGCAGCUCACAUGAUUUUAUCCAUUGCCAGGAUUUCUGAAAUCAGAAAUCAGAAACCUCACUUACUGUAUGAUGUGCCAUUAAGUGCUUGAAAACAUAUCUUAUUAAUUAAGUGACGAGGAAAUGACCAGGGCUGGACAGAUGGCUCAGUGAUGAAGAGUACUGGAUGUUCUUCCAGAGAACACAGGUUCGAUUCCCAGCACCCACAUGGUUGCUCACACACAUAUGUAACUCCAGUCCUAGGGGAUCCACCGCCCUCUCCUGGCCUCUGCGGGCAUUGCACCUACAUGGUGUGCAGAUACACAAGCAAGCAAACCACUGAUACACAUAAAAGUAAACAAAAUUUUAAAAGAAAUAAAAUGCUAACUAAAAUUA